GUGCAGUGUGUGACCGUGUACACAUGGCCAGUGUGCACACAUGCUGGCCAUUAUGUGCAGCCGUGCGCACUGCUCUUGAGAUAACAAGGCAAAAGAUGGUCACAGAUCAGAAGAGACAACAGAGAUUGAAUUCAGGACCUCACACUUGCCAAGAAGGCACUUGUGCCACUGAGCUAGAUCCCUGGCUCUCUGCUUCUUUACUGUGAUGACAUGAGCAGCUUUCCUUGAUCGUACCCCUCCACCAUGCUACCAGACCCUUCUACUACGCCAUUUCCGCCUUGGACCAGGCUGACCAUGUGGAAACUGAGCUAAAAUAACCCUCUCUUCUUCUAUCAAGGCAUAAGCCUGGGUCCAGCAGACCCACCCCGCACUUUUCUACUGCCACAUUAUAGUUGCCAACUGUGCAUCUCAGUACCUUUCCCUGAGGGACACAGGAAGCGAGCUAUGUGUAUACCAGCUGGGUGUGACAAAUGGCAAGGAGUGUGCACAUGUGCAAAAGUGUAAAAAUGGGAUUUGGAGCCACUUUUGCAUGCAAUAAAACUGGGCUUUUGCAUAUUUACCCAAGCAUCACAGAGGAUCCAAUAGACCACACCACUCUAGGAUUUGAAAUUUUCUUUGAUUAUUCUUGUAGAAGUAGCCCAAUUCGGUACCAUGGCAUAUGAAAAACAAAAUUUGCAAGCUCUGGAAGAGGUCAAAACUGAAUCAUCAGAUUACUCAUGAGUGGAUGAUGAUGACCAUACGGCUAAAAUAAAUGCUUUCAUAACAGAAGAGAGGUUUGGGUGUAGGGUGACGGUGAUGAUGAUGAUAAUGAUGAUGACAACUUUCAUGUUGGCCAUGUGAGUCAAAGUUCCUGUGACAGUGAAAUGGCUCAAGAAUCCACUGACAGAGACACAGGGAAUGCAGGUCUCCUUGACUUAGAUGACAAAGGAAACAGCAAUGUGAGGACAUAUUUGAGUAGUCGAAAUGUUGCAAAAGGGCCACAAAACCAAAUGGAAUGACCCAAUGUUAGAACUAGGUCCGAAAAGAUAGCAAGGGUCUCAGCAGGGGUGGAACAGGAUUGGACAGAAUGCUAGCACUGCCAUUCAGUCUUAGAAACUGUAACAGAUAAAAGGCCACAAAAUGCAGAAAUAUGCAGAGCUGAACUGCAAGAAAAAUGUUCUGUGUGCUCCAACAACCAUAUUAAACAAUGAUGAUUAUGACACCUCACUAAACUGACACAUUCAUAGGUCUGCUGUACUUAGCACAGAUUUCUCAUGGUGACUGCAGGAACGUAAAAGACUUAUGGAAAAGCGAUGGGUCAAAAUAUGGAAUAAAACUUAUGCCCUGGUAGAUGCCAAGACUUGUUGUGCUUUUAAUUUAGACAUUUAUCCUGGAGCUCACCAUCAGGCCCUUAUUUGUACAGUACUAAGCUGAAUGAUGUUAUGAACAGACUUGUAUCCCUCCCCGAAACUAAUCAGAAUGUGACAUUCUACAAUGGAUUUACCAGUUUCCAACUGAUGUCACAUUUGCUAACAGCACAAGACAACAAUGCAGGAACCAUAUGCAGGAACAAAGCAGAAAUUCCAAAUGAAAUGCUGCGACUUCAAAACAGAGAGCUGUACGGUACAAUCUUUGGAUUUUAGGAAGACAGAACAUUGGCCUUGCACAUGGCAAAGAUGCUGAUGUCAACAUUUCACCAUGAAGGAACUACUGAUACGGAAACUUGACAGAACAGAAGCCUGAGAUGAAAACUCUCAACAAGAAAACUGAACAUGGCGUAGAUGUGAUGAGUUACACGGCAACUAUGACGUCACCUGGAACACAAAGCAUUGGCUGAUGGUUGGGCUUUACUUGAUCCUAAACAUGUGAGCCAUAAAUAGUUUGAUAGCUGACAAGGAAAAUAACAAGUAAGAAACAUCAUGAGGAAAUUUUCUUAGAGGAUCCGGACUGGAGCUCCUAGGAGAUCAUUUAUAGCAGAGGCAAACAAAAUGUUUCUGCCCGGGGAACUAUGCAAAAUAACGGUGGGGCACACUGGUGAGCUGACAGGAGAACAGGCAGGUGCAGCAUCACAAAGACCUACGGUGACAACAGGAAUACACAGAAGAUGUCAACCGUGCCCUACAAGAAAGGACGGGAAAACAAAACUCCUGUGCUGUCAGUGUGAGCCACACCUGUGUAUGGAACACGCAGCGGUCAUAUGUGAAGUCUGCCCUGGGUGUGACAGUUGCAGCAAAGCCUACUUUUGUUUGUGUUUACACUGAAGUUCACAGGGGUUUUUAUUUCUGAUGUUAACUUUUAGGUUUUGUAAGCAAUGAAACAGUUUACGUCAGGCUGGGGAUUUAGCUCAGCGGCAUAAGCGCCUGCCUGGCAAGUGCAAAGUCAUGAGUUUGAUUCCUGGUACCAACAAACAAACAAACAAACGAAACAGCUGAUGUGAAAAUGUUAAUGUCUGUUUUAAAUGCAUAAUACGUAUUAAGAAUUUAAAAUUCUAUUUUAUUGUUAUUUUAUGUUCCUGUUGACUACAUACUGUAGAAGAUAAUAAGAACCAGCUGACAAAACAGCAAGACCACUGAGAUGUCAAGUGUGUCCUACAGCAAGGCCAGGAAGGCAAAAGCCGUGUGCUGUCAGUGUGCAUCAGUGUGCAUCAGUGUUAGUGAUGUGGGUGUGGGAUGUGCUGCUGUCAUGCAUGCAGACUGCCUUGGGUGGGAUAAUUAAAAUAAAGGCUAUUCUUUGUAGGGUUCUAUUAGUAUUUCCA
Molecule: long non-coding RNA, 2734 nt
Organism: Cavia porcellus (domestic guinea pig)
Lineage: Eukaryota; Metazoa; Chordata; Mammalia; Rodentia; Caviidae
Exons: 3
Source: RefSeq, a predicted model, not a curated record